Molecule: ribosomal RNA, 253 nt
Filed under: uncultured bacterium
Lineage: Bacteria
Description: partial 16S ribosomal RNA
Rfam family: Bacterial small subunit ribosomal RNA
Source: RNAcentral
UACGUAGGGGGCAAGCGUUGUCCGGAUUUAUUGGGCGUAAAGAGCGUGUAGGCGGCCAGGUAGGUCAGCUGUGAAAACUCGAGGCUUAACCUCGAGACGCCGGCUGAAACCCUCUGGCUAGAGUCCGGAAGAGGAGAGUGGAAUUCCUGGUGUAGCGGUGAAAUGCGCAGAUAUCAGGAAGAACACCAAUGGCGAAAGCAGCUCUCUGGGACGGUACUGACGCUGAGACGCGAAAGCGUGGGGAGCGAACAGG